Molecule: ribosomal RNA, 467 nt
Filed under: uncultured bacterium
Lineage: Bacteria
Description: partial 16S ribosomal RNA
Rfam family: Bacterial small subunit ribosomal RNA
Source: RNAcentral
GAUGAACGCUGGCGGCGUGCUUAACACAUGCAAGUCGAACGGUGAAGGCGGAGCUUGCUCUGCUGGAUCAGUGGCGAACGGGUGAGUAACACGUGAGCAAUCUGCCCCUGACUCUGGGAAAAGCGCUGGAAACGGCGUCUAAUACUGGAUACGAGCUGCGAAGGCAUCUUCAGCAGCUGGAAAGAAUUUCGGUCAGGGAUGAGCUCGCGGCCUAUCAGCUUGUUGGUGAGGUAAUGGCUCACCAAGGCGUCGACGGGUAGCCGGCCUGAGAGGGUGACCGGCCACACUGGGACUGAGACACGGCCCAGACUCCUACGGGAGGCAGCAGGGGGGAAUAUUGCACAAUGGGCGAAAGCCUGAUGCAGCAACGCCGCGUGAGGGACGACGGCCUUCGGGUUGUAAACCUCUUUUAGCAGGGAAGAAGCGAAAGUGACGGUACCUGCAGAAAAAGCGCCGGCUAACUACGU